This 468-nucleotide ribosomal RNA is filed under the name uncultured bacterium. RNAcentral describes it as "partial 16S ribosomal RNA". It matches the Rfam family "Bacterial small subunit ribosomal RNA", at positions 28 to 507 of the family's 1533-position model. The record is from RNAcentral.
GACGAACGCUGGCGGCGUGCCUAACACAUGCAAGUCGAACGGAAAGGCCCUGCUUUUGUGGGGUGCUCGUGUGGCGAACGCGUGAGUAACACGUGAGUAACCUGCCCUUGACUUUCGGAUAACUUCACGAAACUCGGGCUAAUACCGGAUAGGAGCUCCUGCUGCAUGGUGGGGGUUGGAAAGUUUCGGCGGUUGGGGAUGGACUCGCGGGUUAUCAGCUUGUUGGUGGGGUAGUGGCUUACCAAGGCUUUGACGGGUAGCCGGCCUGAGAGGGUGACCGGCCACAUUGGGACUGAGAGACGGCGCAGACUCCAACGGGAGGCAGCAGGGGGGAGUAUGGCGCAAUGGGCGGGAGCCUGAUGCGGCAGCGCCGCGUGCGGGAUGACGGCCUUCGGGUGGUAAACCGCUUUCGCCUGUGACGAAGCGUGAGUGACGGUAAUGGGUAAAGAAGCACCGGCUAACUACGUG